AUAUUUGGCCGACCGUAAUCCGCAAAAAAUUCAGCGGAAAACGGACUGGAAGGGCAGUUUCGGUCGGAAUCUUAGGAUGAGAACGAUCUCGCGCGAGGUUGAGCGUUAGCGAGCGCAGCCAGCGGAAACGGGUUUGUUUAACGGAUCGAAAGCGAUGGAGAGGCCUGCGAGAGUGUUUUUCCACGGGAUGAGGAAAAAUGACCUGCUAACCUGAAAUCGGAAACCGCCUUUGUGCACAUCUACGCUUUCGGCGCCCUUUUUAGCUUUAUUAUUUUCACGCAUUGCUCUUCGAGAGGACUUUCUCCGUUCACGAGCAGAGGGAUGUGAUUGAAAAAGGGAAUUCGGCUUUCCCCCUCUCCCUCAUCCCCCUUCACAGUCCACACAACCAUCCCGGAGAACAAUCGGCGCGUUUCUUUCAACCUGCAAAGGCUUUGGUACGUUUUCAGUUAUACAAUGGAAUUUAAUUGUAGUUGCGUGGAGA
Sinocyclocheilus anshuiensis is the source of this 481-nucleotide long non-coding RNA. The record is from Ensembl. Lineage: Eukaryota; Metazoa; Chordata; Actinopteri; Cypriniformes; Cyprinidae.